RNAcentral lists this ribosomal RNA (465 nucleotides) under Vreelandella stevensii. RNAcentral describes it as "partial 16S ribosomal RNA". It matches the Rfam family "Bacterial small subunit ribosomal RNA", at positions 338 to 795 of the family's 1533-position model. Lineage: Bacteria; Pseudomonadati; Pseudomonadota; Gammaproteobacteria; Oceanospirillales; Halomonadaceae. The record is from RNAcentral.
CCUACGGGUGGCUGCAGUGGGGAAUAUUGGACAAUGGGGGGAACCCUGAUCCAGCCAUGCCGCGUGUGUGAAGAAGGCCCUCGGGUUUUAAAGCACUUUCAGUGAGGAAGAACGCCUGGUGGUUAAUACCCAUCAGGAAAGACAUCACUCACAGAAGAAGCACCGGCUAACUCCGUGCCAGCAGCCGCGGUAAUACGGAGGGUGCGAGCGUUAAUCGGAAUUACUGGGCGUAAAGCGCGCGUAGGUGGCUUGAUAAGCCGGUUGUGAAAGCCCCGGGCUCAACCUGGGAACGGCAUCCGGAACUGUUAAGCUAGAGUGCAGGAGAGGAAGGUAGAAUUCCCGGUGUAGCGGUGAAAUGCGUAGAGAUCGGGAGGAAUACCAGUGGCGAAGGCGGCCUUCUGGACUGACACUGACACUGAGGUGCGAAAGCGUGGGUAGCAAACAGGAUUAGAUACCCCUGUAGUA